Phacochoerus africanus (Common warthog) is the source of this 105-nucleotide small nuclear RNA. The record is from RefSeq and is a predicted model, not a curated record. Lineage: Eukaryota; Metazoa; Chordata; Mammalia; Artiodactyla; Suidae.
GUACUUGCUUUGGCAGCACAUAUACUAAUUGGAACAAUACAGAGAAGAUUGGCAUGGUCGCUGCCCAAGGAUGACGUGAACAUUCUUGAAGCUUUCCAUAUUUUU